CCCUGGGUGGUGUAAAUAGGUAACAUGCUCAGCUGCUACCUGAAAGGUUGGAGGUUCAAGUCCACCCAGGGG
Molecule: transfer RNA, 72 nt
Filed under: Loxodonta africana (African savanna elephant)
Lineage: Eukaryota; Metazoa; Chordata; Mammalia; Proboscidea; Elephantidae
Rfam family: tRNA
About the family: Transfer RNA (tRNA) molecules are approximately 80 nucleotides in length. Their secondary structure includes four short double-helical elements and three loops (D, anti-codon, and T loops).
Source: Rfam by way of RNAcentral